GAGGCCUUUCAAGGGCCAAGAGGUUAAGGGCUGGGGGUGGGUGUGGAAAUAAAGAGGAACAUUUGGAGAUCCAUAUUAGAGGAGGAAUGAACAGGACUGGGUCACAGGUUGUUUAGGACAUAGGGACAUACAGGAUGAGGAAACUCUCCCAGAGUCCUAGACUAAUACACAAAUUAACAUACAUGGGCACAGGCCAGGGCAAUGGCUCAUGCCUGUAAUCCCAGCACUUGGGGAGGCCAAGGUGGGAGGAUUGCUUGAGCCCAGGAGGUUGAAGCUGCAGUGAGCUAUGGUUGUGCCACUGUACUCCAGCCUGGGUGAUAGAGGGAGACCCUGUCUCUAAAGGAAUUAAAAAAAAAAACACUGGUACAAUUUAUUGACAGCGAGUCUGGGUCACAGUCAAAUAGAGGAAGAAGACGACCAAGAUUUGGGGGUUGGAUUGUUUUUAAUAUGUAAUGUCUAUGAAACAACCAAGCCAGAAAAUCAACAAGGCAAUUCUAUAUCUAUGUAAUUCUGAAUGAAGAUAAAACCUUGGGCUUAUACGCAUGGAGAUAAGAAUUAACGCCUUGGAAAAGGAUUACAUCCCCCAGAGGUUAUGUUUUUAAGUGCAGAGAUAGAAUAAUAAGGCCAUACCUGAACUGUGGUGCACUGCAGACUGUAAACCCAGGCAGAGGAGUCUCUGCUGGCAAACGCUGCUGGGGAGGAGCAUCCAGAGAGGGAGGAGAAGGUUCUGAUGUCAGGAUCCAGAGAGGAGAGGAUCUUCGGAAUCGCAGAUCUGAGUUUCUGACUUACAUCAUUCUCCUUUUCGCUGAAGAAAUUCUUUUAACAUUUCUUGUGAGGUAGAGUUUGUUUUUGUUUUUUUUUUACAGAAACAGGAACUAAAGAGUUUUAACUGGGCACCGCUAUAGCAGUGGCUGUUGAUCAUCGUCUCCUGGCUGGAACCAGGGAAUCCUGUCGUUCAGGGAGGAGCAACGCAGCAGCAGGCAUGCCUUCUCAGCCCCAGCUGACUCACUCUGGGGUGGAUGGAUGUAUUUACUUACUUAUUUAUUAUUUGGUUCUUGCUCUGUCGCCCAGGCUGGAGUACAGUGAUGCAAUCUCGGCUCACUGCAGCCUGGACCUCCCGGGCUCAAGCGAUCCCACCUCAGCCUCCCAAGUAGCUGGGACUUCAGGCACAUGCCACUACGCCAGCUAAUUUUUUAAACGUUUUGUAGAGACAGGCUCUCGCCCUGUUGCCCAGGCUGGUCUUGAACUCCUGGCCUCAAGCCGUCUGCCCACCUUGGCCUCCCAAAGUGCUGGGAUUACAGGUGUGAGUUACCACACUCAGCCCACUCGGUUUUGAGUGGCCAUUUGCUUUGACUCAGCAAACACUUCUGAUGGUAACAAAGCACCAACUGAGUGGCUGGUUUCAAUCCUACUCUUGCACCCAACACCGCAACAUUUUAUCUACCUGGAGCAAACGCUCUGGGGUCCUGAGGAGCUGGCCACACUGCCCAUUUUGCUGGUGGGACAGUGGGAGGCCCUGCCCUCCUCCCAUCCCACACCUCUUAGGCAAGAGCUGUGCCCAGGAAAUGUCACCUGUAACUGGUCUGCACAGACCCUGUCUUCCAAAAGGGUGCUGUGCCUCCACCAGACCCCACGGGCAGUACAUUGGUCAAGCACAUGCAAGACACGCCAAGGCCAAGGCCUGACUGAUUGGACAGUAAAGACACAAUGAGCCCCUCUCGUUCGAAGCUGAUUACUCACAGAGUGAAAAUAAGAGAAGCCUGAGGUGGCAGCUCCCUCCCGUCCUGGUGCCACACACUAAAAAGGACAGCACCGAAACAAAAGGGGUCAGAGAGCACGCGCUGAGGGACACCCACUGCGGAGCAGCCCCUGGAGACUGCGCCGGGUGGCAUCCUCAUCUGUGGCUCUGUUGUGGGGGCCAGGGGCAGGCAGCCUCCCCCUCACCAGGGCCAGCGAGGCAGGCAGUGAGGAGCAGUCUCGGGAGACAGAGGGAAUGAGAGGUGGCCUGGGUGCAGCCUGAUGUUCUGGGAGGAGCAGGCUUAGGUCAGCUGCUGUGCGCACCUCUGCGUGGCCUGUGGGGAUCCUGCAAUGGCUCAGGGCCCCACGGCAGAGCUGUCUCUCUGUCCACACAACGGACACACAACCUGACACACGGAAACUCACAGAGACACCAGAGAGGCACAUGUGACACUCAAAGACAGACCCACACAAAAGCCACGCAGGAAAGCCUUUUGCCACACGUGCACACACACAUACACACAGGUGCCCAUCCCUUCAAACCUUGGUGUUUGCCCAGACACACCUGUGUCAGAGACAGGGGACCUGCAGCUCCCCAACACACACCAGUCACCCCACACUAACCCAAGGUGUCACCAGCCAGCCUGGAGGACUUGGGAGGCCAAAUGGAGGUGGACAGUGGCCGCAGAGCAAAGGCCUUCGGUGGAUAGCACCCGACGUGAAGAGCCAUGGCGCCCACCGUGUCCACACACACAGGGGACACGCACGUCUGUGCACCAGCUCCCCCAUUCCUACACACGCAUCACCCAUCCCUGGGGCUCUGGAGGAUGAGGCCCCUCCUUCCAGACCAGGGCCUCCCUGAAGACCCAGAGGUGGUCCAGGAGUCCCCAUGCCUGAGUGACCCACUGCUCAUGUCCAUGAAAAAGAAAAGGAACUGUGUGUGUGUGUGUGUUUGUCAGCACAAUGGAAGUUUAUUUUAUAUAUAUAUAUACUUUAAGUUCUGGGGUACAUGUGCAGAACGUGCAGGUUUGUUACAUAGGUAUACACG
This 2785-nucleotide long non-coding RNA is filed under the name Macaca mulatta (Rhesus monkey). Its description in RNAcentral is "lncRNA (ENSMMUG00000062236.1)". Lineage: Eukaryota; Metazoa; Chordata; Mammalia; Primates; Cercopithecidae. The record is from RNAcentral.